GCCCUUUGUAAGGUGGUGGUAGCGGAAACGCCCACACGGCUACUGUGAUGGCCGAGGACACCUAAGCAGAGGGCGUUU
RNAcentral lists this small RNA (78 nucleotides) under bovine gut metagenome. The record is from RNAcentral.